CGUCCUUAAACCCUGCCCUCUCGAACCAUUUCAUGUACUCUUCCUCCGUGGGGAAGAGCAUCCACAUGUCAGCGAAGAAGCGAGAUAGCCAAAAUGUCGGACGGACGGGGCCUAUCAUACAAGCCACGCCGUCGGCGGUCAGGACCCUGUAGGCCUCCCUGAUCCCCCGUUGUGGAUCAGGCCAAUACUCAAUGCUGCCGUGUAUAUGGAGGCCAAAAACAAGAACUCAAUCAUUGGAUAUAUAUAUAUAUGUCAACUUAAAGUCUAAGGAGAGGUACUAGAGGAGAUUGUCUAUAACCCACCUGCCAGCGGAGACGUAUCGGUCGAAGGUGUCGGUGGGGAAGGGAAGGUCCUCGGCGUCACCCUUCAUGAUCUUGAUGCCCCUUAGGGCCUUCUUCUUUCUGGCCUUGUCGAGUUGGUGCGGCG
Molecule: long non-coding RNA, 426 nt
Filed under: Hordeum vulgare
Lineage: Eukaryota; Viridiplantae; Streptophyta; Magnoliopsida; Poales; Poaceae
Description: long non-coding RNA (HVUL_LNC008480)
Source: RNAcentral